RNAcentral lists this long non-coding RNA (414 nucleotides) under Homo sapiens (human). RNAcentral's name for it is "non-protein coding lnc-VPS33B-2:1". The record is from RNAcentral. Lineage: Eukaryota; Metazoa; Chordata; Mammalia; Primates; Hominidae.
CUGGGCUAGGAGGCAGUGAUUCACUGGAAAGAUCAGAGCCUGUCUGAGAAACAGGGCAGUAAACAGAAAGCUCAGUGAUGUAUGAGUGCUGAAGACUUUUUUGUUAAGAUGCACAGGAGGAAGACAGAGAAUCUAGGAAGGUGCCAGGGAUGAUUUCUCAUCCCAAAGCCCUGGGAGAAAUCCCAUCUCUGGGCAAGAAGAGAAUCUGAACGCAAAUGGAUGAAGAUGCUAAUGAGGCUCAGAUGAUGAGAGCACACUAGGCUCACAGCAUGCUGACAAAUCCAGAAACAGGCUAUGCUUCCCUCCCGCCUUCCUAAGACUUCAGCUAAGACACUGCACAUGCCCGUCCCUCUGCAGGAAGGCCAUCCACAGUUAUAUCUUGCUUUAAAAAAGCAAAACUUUGAAAAAUAAAAU